This 29-nucleotide non-coding RNA is filed under the name Rattus norvegicus (Norway rat). Lineage: Eukaryota; Metazoa; Chordata; Mammalia; Rodentia; Muridae. The record is from RNAcentral.
UGUGAUUUUAAAUCCAAAUCUUGCUUUUC